Molecule: ribosomal RNA, 120 nt
Organism: Ictidomys tridecemlineatus (thirteen-lined ground squirrel)
Lineage: Eukaryota; Metazoa; Chordata; Mammalia; Rodentia; Sciuridae
Source: Ensembl
GUCUAUGACAAUACCAUUGUGAGAGUGCCUGGCCUCAUCAGAUCUUGGAAGCUAAGCAGAGCCAGACUUGGUUAGUACUUAAAUGGGAGACUGCUUAGGAAUGCUGGUUGCUUAUAAAAU